CAUCACCACCACCACCACCACCUCCACCACCACCCCUACCACCCCUACCCCUAUCCCCCAUCCCCCCACCCCCAUGAAGCCCCACAGUAGAUGCCCUGCCCACCAUUUGAAGCCAUUUCUAUGUUCCUCGCUAAUGCUCCAUGGUCCCCGAAUAAGGAUCUCCUUACAGUUCUCACAAAACCCAAAGCUCAUACCUACUCGUGAACAUCUCUGUGCCUAUGUUUCCUCUGCCUGGGAUGUUCCUUCUGCGUUCCCUAUGACUGGCUCGUCCUGUGCCAGCUCGGUGUCAGCUCUGUACACUCUGUCAUAUUACUCGGCCCCCUGUCUUCCUAAACCACAUACCCAGGUCAUUUCUACAUCUGUGUGCUUGUUGAUAGCAACACGGUAUGAAAGUCGGAACAUUCUGUACUGUUCCGUGUUCUUCCCCCGGCACAGAGGACACUGGUGUGAAGUAGUAGCCCCAUCAGUAUCUGUUGACAUGAUAGGCAAAGCCUGCCUCCCAGUGGUGGAGGUGCCAGCCGUCUGAUUUCAAAAGCAAAAUGCCUUUCCUCCCACCACAAUCUCCCCUCCUAGCUCUGUCCUGGCCCCUUGCGGAAAGAGCACAUCGAUGACUCCUUUAGACUGAGCUUCAUGUAACCUCCAUAGGAGCUGGACUAUAAUGCUGAAUGAAAAGGGAAAGUGGGGCUCGGUGCCACUGUUUCUCUCAUGGGCUUCACCGAGUUGGAAAUCUUGUGGUCUGAAGGCGUUCAUCCCUGGAAGUUCUUGACCUUGCCAGCAGGUGGCGCAGCGCUGCUUGCACGGGGAGGCCUACCUCGAGAGUCUAGGCAACACCGGAAGAUGCCAGGCCAGACUUGGUUCUCCCACAGUUAAAUAGCGGAAGUAGCACAAUGAUAUUGGAGAAGGGGAGUAUCUCAUUAUACACGCAGUUUAUAUUGUUUUUGGUGCAAAAAAACUGCCAAUAAACAUUAUGCUAUACAUAGAAACUGCUUCUAUGUCAUCACAAAAUUGAACUACUGAGCGGAACGUGAGGGUGUGCAUUUUUCCUGUCAUAACCGCCUCUUACAAACUUAGAAUUAGGUCAAGAUGCUUAGUUCCUUUUCUGUCUACCGGAAGAACGAAUUGUAGUGGAAACAAAGCGGCCUGGAAGAAAGGGAAGAGGCUUACCGAGUGAUUCCGGCCUGUUGGCAGGGGAGGGAGGGCGGCCAUUGGUCUCUGCGGGGGCACCGGAGGCUGCUGGGAGACCUUGCCGGUGGGAGGCCGGUCUGUGGAAACACAAUAUUAAAAAGAAAGGAGAGCCGUUUAAUACCACCGGGGAAGCAGAGAAAGUAAUUCCCACCGGAUAAAGGUGCAUCUUCCUUCCUGGUAGAUUCCAGCACAUGGUGUCUGGCUCAUAACAGGAGAGGAGAAGCAUUCGUGACUUCAUGAAUGAAUGAAUGAGGAAGAACAUGUGAGUGCAGGACGGCAGGUAAAUGAGGAACAUCCUAAAGUCUGUCUCAUUGUAAAGGCAGAACCAAUCCCUCUGAGUGCCCUCACAUUUCUUAUGACCUUCUGUGGAUGGCGGUGCCACAUAACCACCCUCUUCCCAUCAAGCCUUUGUCCUCUGUUCUAGUAUUAUCCUGUAUUACUCAUAAGGAAACAGCCAGAGAGGCAGAGUCUCUGGCCUCAAGCCACCAGUUUUUCAGAAGCUGACAGGAAUCAGCACCCAGAGAAGCUCAAUGGGCGGCUUCUCCCAGGGCUGGCAGGACUAGCGGGCUGCGACGAGACCCUUACCAAUGUACAUGGAGUUGGUGUUGGGGAAAGGCUUGGCAGGCAGGAUGGAGUUCUGCAGAGCCUCCUCAUCGUUGGAGGGUGGCGGCUCAUAGUCAGCAGCAUCGUCCACUAGCGUCUCUUCCUCCUCGUUAGGGGACUCAUAGUCACCAUCAU
Non-coding RNA from Rattus norvegicus (Norway rat), 1923 nucleotides. Lineage: Eukaryota; Metazoa; Chordata; Mammalia; Rodentia; Muridae. The record is from RefSeq and is a predicted model, not a curated record.